RNAcentral lists this unclassified non-coding RNA (779 nucleotides) under Haliotis rufescens (red abalone). RNAcentral's name for it is "uncharacterized LOC125376037, transcript variant X1". The record is from RNAcentral. Lineage: Eukaryota; Metazoa; Mollusca; Gastropoda; Lepetellida; Haliotidae.
AUAUUCAUUUGUUAUGUCUACUGUGGGCUUGGAGUGGAUUCGUGGAACAAUCCUCCUUUAGAAUACCAAUAGUACUUAAAGCAUCUUGCGAGUCAGGCACCAUGUGGGAUUAUGGGAUUGUCCUGGCGGACGCUGUUGCCUAUGCUACUUUAGGAUUUUGGGAUUGCCGAACACUCUCUUACCAAAACACUUUCUCAUAUGGCAGUCCCUUCCUAUUAUUUAUAACAAAGUAGUGGAAUUUGCUUUUGUUUGUCAAAAUAUACUUUAUUCAGUUAAAUCCCUUACUGUUGUGGACUGUUUUCAGGUGGAGUCCCUCAAGUCGACCUUCAGGUCGGGAAGCAGAACAUAUAUACUCGACUGACCCCUGCAGAGACUGUUGGUGAAGGUGGAGUCCCUCAAGUCGACCUUCAGGUCGGGAAGCAGAACAUAUAUACUCGACUGACCCCUGCAGAGACUGUUGGUGAAGGUGGAGUCCCUCAAGCCGUCACUCUGGUCGGGACGCAGAAUAUAUUUACUCGACCGACCCCUGUAGGGACUGUUGGUGAAGGUAGGCAUUGUCAGCCAUGAUUCAGGUUAUUCUAGUUGUGUAUUUGGAGCUAACACGUAUGAAAAGAAAACAUAUAAUAAUUUAUAAUCUAGAAGUAAACUAGACUAUGACAUAUAAAUAUUACCCAUUAUGGUUGUAUCUUCUUGUGUAAUCACUUUCCCAUAUUUGCAUAUGUGCAUUUAAACGAUUCUCAAUGUUAAUUCGUCACUUAAAGCCAUAUGACGUCAUCCAU